CAAGUGGAAAUACGAACUGCCCGGAGUAGUGCGGCAUCUCCAGGGUCUCUCGCCUUAUACUCAGUGCGACCUUACCCUAAACAUUUAGGAUCGAGGUAUUUCCCAAACCUGUGCCCGUGCCCUGGUUUCUGGUGCCACCCUGUGGUCCAGCGAAAUGCAGGCCCUCGGGUCUUCAAUAAGGCUGAAUAACGAUGGAGUUGUCGAGAUAGAACUGAGGUGUGUGUAGGUAAAUCAUUCCCGAGUGUGUUCCCAGUAGAUCGAGAUGGGAGUCAGGCUCUUCUCCCAGGGAACAAGUGACAGGAUGAGAAGAAAUGGCUUCCAAUUGUGCCACGAGAAGUUCAGAUUGGAUACUGGGGAAAAAUUCUUUAUUGAAAGAGUGGUCAGACAUUGGAACCUGCUGCCCAGGACAGUGGUGGAGUCACUGCUAUUGGAAGAGUUCAAAAGGCAUGUGGAUGUGGCACUUGGGGACAUGGUUUAGUGAACACAAUGGAGAUGGGUUAAUGAAGGCCUAAGAGGGAUUUUCCGACUGUAAUUUUUCUAUAAUUAGAAACGAAGGAGCACUGAAUAGAUCAUAUGGGUGGGUGAAAGCCUCAGGUGGGGCUGGUCAGGGCCACUAAGAUAUGGACUUCAGAAGUACCUCCCAAAAGUCUUCACACCUGGAAUUGGCAGAUUCUCCUUAUACAGCACCUCCUGGUGCCCUUGAACAAAACUUGAAGCAGCAGUUCAGGCAGACCACACCAGCUGUAUUGACUGUGCCUCCCUACGAGGACCGGGAUUUUCUUUGAGAUCCCUCUUCAGAUACGAUCUGAAGUGAAGUAAGUGAUUGCUGGAUACAAGCCAGCCCCUGAACAUGCUGGCUGAGAUGGCCCUGUGGUGGACCUGAGCAUACCCAUAGAGACCUGAAUGGCCCUGACCAGCCUCACCUGAGAGCCCCAUCCCACCCUCUCGAAGUCCCCUUCCCACUCAGCCCAGUGCCCUUCUCCCUGCCUCACUUACAGGAAGGUGCCUGUCUCCAGCUGUGCCUUCUCAGCUUUGCUCUGGGUGGACCUUGUUUGUCAAGUAGCUUGUCCCUUAGGCAGCACCUUACAAUGUGUAUUACAUGCCACCAACCUUAUUCUAAUUGAACAAUUAAUUUUUAAUUACAUCUUUUAAAGUUUUGUUCCAUAUAGAUACUUUUUCAUAUAAAAGCUAUUAAAGAGUAACAUGCCAAGUACUGUCUGCCCCUUCUUACACAAGACCAAGCAUUGUUCUAGCUCUUCAUAACACCUUUGAGCUUGCCUGGGCUACCAAGAGCUAGAGAGGAAGGAAGAAGGGUAAGUGUGGACUUGUGCAGGCACUAUAAACAGAAAAAUCAAUACUUCUGCUUACAUUUUUGGGUAUAAUGUAAACUAGAUGAGCUGUUGAACAGAGGUAGAAAGAGAUGAAUUUCCUGCCACAUGACUGUAAAUCAUUGCACUGGCUCUCCCACCCAGGAAGCUGCUUUUAGGCUGUCUGGUGUGGCUGGUCCCCACAGUCCUUGCUGUUGUCUACAUGGAUUAGAUGCUGGAGCAUAUCCAGAGAAGGGAAACAGCUGGAAAAGGGUUUGCAGCAUAAGAUCCUGAGGAGUGGCUAAGGGAGCUGUAAAGAGUUAGCCUGGAAAAAAGGAGGUUCAGUUCUCCCAGAAAGUGUUCGUUUCUAUUUUUCUGUAGGAAGACACUGAAGAAAAGUGGUGCUGUUGGCAAUGAUGUGCAGAACUAUACACUGAGGUGUUGAGCAUCCAAUGUAGCAAUAACCACCAUGAGACUCAUUUGAUUGUUGAGGGCUGUCCCAGUUGAUGGAUUGUUUCCACCAAGCACCAGGAAGGGCCAAUAAGGAUCAGGUGACAGGCCAUGAAGAACCUGGGGCUGGUCCUGAGCAGACACCUCUGCCUUCUGUUGCAGUAGUCAUGGAAACAGUGGGGUACAAGCAUAACUAUGCCAUCCCUGCAUCCCCAGGCCUCAUCACUUGUUCAGAUCUACUGGGCCAGUGCGGCUGAUUUUCCAUGACUUUCCAGUUUCAUGCAGAGAGCAAAGCUGCCCCAGCAGCUCCUGGCUGGAGCCUGUACUCCUGCAGGUGCUGCCUGCAGCUCUGCUUUGCUGGGAUGGAUCUCUCCUGCUGGAUCCAUUUGUCCAGCAUCUCUCCAGGCUACAAAGAUGAUGACUCCUCACCUUCAGUCACAGCCAGGAUAUGAAGCAGCAUGCUACUCCAUCCAGAAAGCUCCCUGCAUGCUGUGCAUUGGCUCACACCAGCUGCUCAAAGAAUUACUGAAAAAGGCUGCUCCUCCCCAUAAGACAGAGACUGUAAUGCUGAGAGCAGGGGGCAAAGAUGUUCUCCACAAACUUCAUUGCUUUGUAUCUUGACCCAUGGUUCACUUGUGUCUUUCUGGGGCUUUCAUGGAAGCAGAAGAAUUGAAAGGAGCACUCUUGUUUCACUGGCAUGCUGAAAACACCUUCCACACCAUCACUGUAUGUGACAGCCACAGCUGGUCUGUAGCUGCACAGAAAAAUUGGCCAUAACAGACACCAAUUCGACCAGCCUAGCUAAUUAGAAAUCGAGGUAAACAAAUCCCCAGGUAUGAUAACGAUAGGUCGGAUUCAAACAGAGGACCCCAGCCAAUCCCAUUGAAUAUCAUUGGCCAGUGAACUGGGUGGAGCUAAGGCCCCAACCAAUCACAUAUGUAAGCACAGGAAAUUUGAAGUCCCUAUAAAAGGGGAUGCUCAGCAAUAAACCUCAGCUGUUGCUGUAUGAA
Cyanistes caeruleus (blue tit) is the source of this 2767-nucleotide non-coding RNA. Lineage: Eukaryota; Metazoa; Chordata; Aves; Passeriformes; Paridae. The record is from RefSeq and is a predicted model, not a curated record.